GUCUUUUUGAUAAAUAAUUUAAAGUCUAAUCUGCCCCCUGAAAUUAUUUUAAAGGGCUGCGGUAUCUUAACCGUACAAAGGUAGCAUAAUAAUUAGGUUUUUAAUUGAAAUCUUGAAUGAAUGAUUGGACGAGAUAUGAGCUGUUUUAAAAUAUAAAUUUGAAUUUAAUUUUUUAGUUAAAAAGCUAAAAUAUUUUUAAAAGACGAGAAGACCCUAUAAAUCUUUAUAAUUUAUUUAUUUUAAUUAAUUAUUUUAAUAAAAUUAAUUUAAAUAGAGAAAUUAUUUUAUUGGGGUGAUAUAAAAAUUUUUUAAACUUUUUAUGAUUAUAAUACUAUAAUUAAAGAUUUUUAAAAUAUAUGAUCUAUUAAUAAUAAUUAAAAGAAAAAGAUACUUUAGGGAUAACAGCGUAAUUUUAAUAUUAAGUUCAUAUUAUUAUUAAAGAUUGCGACCUCGAUGUUGGAUUAAAAUUUAAUUUAAAUGCAAAAGUUUAAAAAUUAAGUCUGUUCGACUUUUAAAAUUUU
This 521-nucleotide ribosomal RNA is filed under the name Nothopsyche ruficollis. RNAcentral's name for it is "partial 16S ribosomal RNA". Lineage: Eukaryota; Metazoa; Arthropoda; Insecta; Trichoptera; Limnephilidae. The record is from RNAcentral.